RNAcentral lists this long non-coding RNA (451 nucleotides) under Musa acuminata (dwarf banana). Its description in RNAcentral is "long non-coding RNA (MACU_LNC003152)". The record is from RNAcentral. Lineage: Eukaryota; Viridiplantae; Streptophyta; Magnoliopsida; Zingiberales; Musaceae.
CAGUAUUCAUUAACAAUAAAAUGCCUAGGAGUAUAGACUGUACAAAAUAUCAAAGAUGAACCACACUGAUCAUCAGAUAUAUGAUCAGAUUGUGUAUUUGUCAUCACCUUUCCUUUUUACUUUUUUUUUUUAAAAUAUAAUCCUUAACUUCCCUCUCUCCAAGUGGUGUAUAUUUAUUCGGUUAAAAAUCCCUCCCCGUCCUCAAAGCCUAUGAUGAAGAGAAACUUUUCAAGACAAAUGGAGAAAGACAGUUGGCAGAGAAAUACUUCCUAAGAUAAGUGGAGUAGAGGACCACAUGAUUGGGCUGGAUCUCAAUUUUUCUUUUUGUUCACUUUAAAUUGUAAAGUGCAUAUCUUGCAGGACUACAACCACUCCAAAGUGAUGAAAUGAUCCCGACAAAAAUGACCACGAUCGGCAAGGCCAUUUCACCACUUCAGCGUCAUUGUCACCC